Molecule: ribosomal RNA, 555 nt
Filed under: uncultured organism
Description: eukaryotic LSU rRNA
Rfam family: 5.8S ribosomal RNA (bases 180-333)
Source: RNAcentral
CGGAGGGAUCAUUACACAAAUAUGAAGGCGGGCUGGAACCUCUCGGGGUUACAGCCUUGCUGAAUUAUUCACCCUUGUCUUUUGCGUACUUCUUGUUUCCUUGGUGGGUUCGCCCACCACUAGGACAAACAUAAACCUUUUGUAAUUGCAAUCAGCGUCAGUAACAAAUUAAUAAUUACAACUUUCAACAACGGAUCUCUUGGUUCUGGCAUCGAUGAAGAACGCAGCGAAAUGCGAUAAGUAGUGUGAAUUGCAGAAUUCAGUGAAUCAUCGAAUCUUUGAACGCACAUUGCGCCCUUUGGUAUUCCAAAGGGCAUGCCUGUUCGAGCGUCAUUUGUACCCUCAAGCUUUGCUUGGUGUUGGGCGUCUUGUCUCUAGCUUUGCUGGAGACUCGCCUUAAAGUAAUUGGCAGCCGGCCUACUGGUUUCGGAGCGCAGCACAAGUCGCACUCUCUAUCAGCAAAGGUCUAGCAUCCAUUAAGCCUUUUUUUCAACUUUUGACCUCGGAUCAGGUAGGGAUACCCGCUGAACUUAAGCAUAUCAAUAAGCGGAGGAA